Molecule: unclassified non-coding RNA, 200 nt
Filed under: Didymellaceae sp.
Lineage: Eukaryota; Fungi; Ascomycota; Dothideomycetes; Pleosporales; Didymellaceae
Description: partial internal transcribed spacer 2
Source: RNAcentral
UUGAGUUCAGCGGGUAUCCCUACCUGAUCCGAGGUCAAGAGUUAAAAAAGGCUUACUGGACGCCACCGUAUUGCUAACAAAGCGCGUUUUGUGCUGCGCUCCGAAAUCUAUACGCCGGCUGCCAAUUGCUUUAAGGCGAGUCCACGCGCAAAGGCGGGACAAACACCCAACACCAAGCAGAGCUUGAAGGUACAAAUGAC